AGGAGAGAGAGAGAGAAUGAGACAGUGACUGGUGGCUUGGACACAUCUGAGCCAGCAACUAGAGAUUUCUCUCCACGACAAACACACACUCACCUCUUCACACACACACACACAUUUUCCUCCUCACACACACACACACACACACACACACACACACACACACACACACACACACACACACUCACCGAUGGAUGGAUUAAUAUUUUGAGGGGAUGUUUCUGAUGCCGUACUGAGAUCUACUUCUCUUCCUCAUGGAGCAGAAAACCCUGAACUGUGAGGGAGCUACGGAAGGAUCUGCCGUGGUCUCUGAUGGAGAGCUGAACAGUGUUGACCUACAGGGCUGUGGUAGUGACAACAGUCUGAACAGUAAUG
This is a long non-coding RNA of Oncorhynchus nerka (sockeye salmon), 372 nucleotides long. RefSeq lists it as uncharacterized. NCBI's taxonomy places the organism in Eukaryota, Metazoa, Chordata, Actinopteri, Salmoniformes, Salmonidae. The record is from RefSeq and is a predicted model, not a curated record. The transcript is spliced from 3 exons.